Molecule: transfer RNA, 54 nt
Filed under: Syphacia muris
Lineage: Eukaryota; Metazoa; Nematoda; Chromadorea; Rhabditida; Oxyuridae
Description: tRNA-Gln
Source: RNAcentral
AGUAUUUUAGUAUAAGUAAUAUGAUCAUUUUUGGGGUGAUAGAUAGUAAUACUA